AAACUAACAAGGAUUCCCCUAGUAACUGCGAGUGAAGCGGGAUGAGCUCAAAUUUAAAAUCUGGCGGCAUUGGUCGUCCGAGUUGUAAUCUGGAGAAGCAUUUUCUGUGUCGGACCGUGCACAAGUUUCCUGGAACGGAAUGUCAUAGAGGGUGAGAGUCCCGUCCAUGGCACGGAUCACCGAUGCAUUGUGAUAUGCUCUCGAAGAGUCGAGUUGUUUGGGAAUGCAGCUCAAAAUGGGUGGUAAAUUCCAUCUAAAGCUAAAUAUUGGCGAGAGACCGAUAGCGAACAAGUACCGUGAGGGAAAGAUGAAAAGCACUUUGGAAAGAGAGUUAAACAGUACGUGAAAUUGUUGAAAGGGAAACGCUUGGAGUCAGUCGCGUUGGUCAGGAUUCAGUCGCUCUUACCGGAGUGGAUUACUUCCUGGUGAACGGGUCAACAUCGAUUUCGAACGGUGGAUAAAGGGGAGGGGAAUGUGGCACCUUCGGGUGUGUUAUAGCCCCUCUUUCGCAUACACCGGCCGGGAUCGAGGAUCGCAGCACGCCUUUAUGGCCGGGGGUUUACCUCACGUAACGUGCUUAGGAUGUUGGCAUAAUGGCUUUAAGCGACCCGUCU
This 614-nucleotide ribosomal RNA is filed under the name Hyphodontia pallidula. RNAcentral's name for it is "eukaryotic LSU rRNA". It matches the Rfam family "Eukaryotic large subunit ribosomal RNA", at positions 62 to 654 of the family's 3401-position model. Lineage: Eukaryota; Fungi; Basidiomycota; Agaricomycetes; Hymenochaetales; Schizoporaceae. The record is from RNAcentral.